This 706-nucleotide ribosomal RNA is filed under the name Salmonella enterica subsp. salamae. RNAcentral's name for it is "partial 23S ribosomal RNA". It matches the Rfam family "Bacterial large subunit ribosomal RNA", at positions 911 to 1536 of the family's 2925-position model. The record is from RNAcentral. Lineage: Bacteria; Pseudomonadati; Pseudomonadota; Gammaproteobacteria; Enterobacterales; Enterobacteriaceae.
UGUUUCGGCUAGGGGGCCAUCCCGGCUUACCAACCCGAUGCAAACUGCGAAUACCGGAGAAUGUUAUCACGGGAGACACACGGCGGGUGCUAACGUCCGUCGUGAAGAGGGAAACAACCCAGACCGCCAGCUAAGGUCCCAAAGUCAUGGUUAAGUGGGAAACGAUGUGGGAAGGCCCAGACAGCCAGGAUGUUGGCUUAGAAGCAGCCAUCAUUUAAAGAAAGCGUAAUAGCUCACUGGUCGAGUCGGCCUGCGCGGAAGAUGUAACGGGGCUAAACCAUGCACCGAAGCUGCGGCAGCGAACGUAUCACUUAAAACGAUUCAGAAGCUUACGAUUGACGGAGCGAAGCGACGUCAAAGCGUAUACAAAGUCGAGUCGGUUUAAGGAUACGUUCGUUGGGUAGGGGAGCGUUCUGUAAGCCUGCGAAGGUGGCCUGUGAGGGUUGCUGGAGGUAUCAGAAGUGCGAAUGCUGACAUAAGUAACGAUAAAGCGGGUGAAAAGCCCGCUCGCCGGAAGACCAAGGGUUCCUGUCCAACGUUAAUCGGGGCAGGGUGAGUCGACCCCUAAGGCGAGGCCGAAAGGCGUAGUCGAUGGGAAACGGGUUAAUAUUCCCGUACUUGGUGUUACUGCGAAGGGGGGACGGAGAAGGCUAUGUUGGCCGGGCGACGGUUGUCCCGGUUUAAGCGUGUAGGCUGACUUUCCAGG